This 330-nucleotide ribosomal RNA is filed under the name Triticum aestivum (bread wheat). RNAcentral's name for it is "partial small subunit ribosomal RNA". The record is from RNAcentral. Lineage: Eukaryota; Viridiplantae; Streptophyta; Magnoliopsida; Poales; Poaceae.
AUGUGUCUAGCUGUUUCGGACUCUAUCCCAACAAGACACGUUCCAAAUAACGUACUAACAGAAUUUGAAGGAGUAAUGUUAAAAGCAAUGGCGGCCUCGAAAAUCUUGUCACCGGACAGCACCUCGGUCACUUUCAUCCACGACAGCACGCCUCCCAGCGCUACGUCGACGAGCCCUACGCCGUCGCCGCCGAAGAAGCCCCCUCCCUUGGAGCAUUCCCUCAGGGCUCCUUCAAGAAUCUCCACCGCCGCGAACGCCUGCUUCUUUCCCUUGGAUUUCUCCUCCUCUGUCUUGCCCCUCAACCACUGCCUCCAUGGGGCUACCAGCUGA